Molecule: ribosomal RNA, 467 nt
Filed under: uncultured bacterium
Lineage: Bacteria
Description: partial 16S ribosomal RNA
Rfam family: Bacterial small subunit ribosomal RNA
Source: RNAcentral
GACGAACGCUGGCGGCGUGCUUAACACAUGCAAGUCGAACGGUGAAGCUCCAGCUUGCUGGAGUGGAUCAGUGGCGAACGGGUGAGUAACACGUGAGCAACCUGCCCCUGACUCUGGAAUAAGCGCUGGAAACGGCGUCUAAUACUGGAUACGAGAAGGGUCCGCAUGGGCACUUUCUGGAAAGUUUUUCGGUUGGGGAUGGGCUCGCGGCCUAUCAGCUUGUUGGUGAGGUAAUGGCUCACCAAGGCGACGACGGGUAGCCGGCCUGAGAGGGCGACCGGCCACACUGGGACUGAGACACGGCCCAGACUCCUACGGGAGGCAGCAGUGGGGAAUAUUGCACAAUGGGCGAAAGCCUGAUGCAGCGACGCCGCGUGAGGGAUGACGGCCUUCGGGUUGUAAACCUCUUUCAGCAGGGAAGAAGCGAAAGUGACAGUACCUGCAGAAGAAGCACCGGCUAACUACGU